RNAcentral lists this ribosomal RNA (476 nucleotides) under uncultured soil bacterium. RNAcentral describes it as "bacterial SSU rRNA". It matches the Rfam family "Bacterial small subunit ribosomal RNA", at positions 1001 to 1503 of the family's 1533-position model. The record is from RNAcentral.
GCGAAGCAGAGAGUGCUUUAUUGAGCCAAGUGACAGGUGAUGCAUGGCCGUCGUCAGCUCGUGUCGUGAGAUGUUUGGUUAAGUCCAUCAACGAGCGCAACCCUUAUGGUCUGUUGUAUUUUUCAGGCCAGACUGCCCUGGUAACAGGGAGGAAGGAGGGGAUGAUGUCAGGUCAGUAUUUCCCUUACAUCUGGGGCUACAAACACGCUACAAUGGCCGGUACAAAGGGCAGCCAAAGCGCAAGCUGGAGCAAAUCCCAUCAAAGCCGGUCUCAGUUCGGAUAGCAGGCUGAAACUCGCCUGCUUGAAGUCGGAAUCGCUAGUAACGGUAGGUCAGCUAUACUACCGUGAAUACGUUCCCGGGUCUUGUACACACCGCCCGUCAAACCAUGAAAGUCGCCAAUACCUGACGUGUUGCCUUCGCGCAGCCCUAAGGUAGGGGAGAUGAUUGGGGUUAAGUCGUAACAAGGUAACCGU